This 305-nucleotide ribosomal RNA is filed under the name uncultured bacterium. RNAcentral describes it as "bacterial SSU rRNA". It matches the Rfam family "Bacterial small subunit ribosomal RNA", at positions 338 to 659 of the family's 1533-position model. The record is from RNAcentral.
CCUACGGGGGGCAGCAGUCGGGAAUAUUGCGCAAUGGAGGAAACUCUGACGCAGUGACGCCGCGUAUAGGAAGAAGGUUUUCGGAUUGUAAACUAUUGUCGUUAGGGAAGAUAAAAGACUGUACCUAAGGAGGAAGCCCCGGCUAACUACGUGCCAGCAGCCGCGGUAAUACGUAGGGGGCAAGCGUUAUCCGGAUUUACUGGGUGUAAAGGGAGCGUAGACGGCAGUGCAAGUCCGGAGUGAAAGCUCGGGGCUCAACCCUGGGACUGCUCUGGAAACUGUAAAGCUGGAGUGCGGGAGGGGCG